GCAGAGAAAAGCGCAGUCCAGCAGCGUUUAACAUCCUCCUAGUCACAUCAGAUAAAAGAAGCGAUCUGAUUGGUUGCUGGGGGUAACUCAGCAAUUUUUGGACACUAACAUAUAUUCAUCUAUCCUGCAUCACCGCUGAUGCCAGUCAUUGGGUGCAGCACAUGGAUGCACAGGACGUUCUGGGAAAAGUAGCAAAACAGAGAUUGUUAGGGAUCACCAGAGCAUCAACCCUGGAGCAGCGGGAGAUUUAACAGAUAUCCUCUUUAUGACUGUAGAGGUAGUGCUGCAUUACAAUGGGAGAAUAAGGACCUCACAAAGUGUUGAAGGUUUGUAAAAAGACAACCAACAAGUGAUGAAAACACAGGCCGGCUGUUGCUGGGCAGGAUGAAAUCGACAUCUGAUUGGUCAGCGUGGAUUCGGUGGGAAUGGAGAAGUUUUAAAAGAAGCGGUGGCGAUUCCCAUAGCUCAGUCAGCGUGUCAAGACCCAAGAAGCGUGCCCUCCCUCCUUCCCUUGUCACGGUCUGUUUUUAGGGACGUCGCCCCGUUUAUUAGCGGGUCGGACAGUUUUUGUUAUAUGGUUGUAUUAAAUUAACAUUCGUUUUCUUAAUUAAAAUGGGGUGUCACCCAGACUGGUCUGGGCGGAUAGUUUUAUUUAAUUCAGAGUUUUACAUUAUAUGGUUAUUUCAGCUUUGCUGAUUUUAUUGGAUGUUAGUUUUUUAAAUUAAUUUAUGGUUUUAUUAAUAAAUGUAUUUAUUUAAUUUUUUUUUUUUUACCCCUCAA
Hyla sarda is the source of this 780-nucleotide long non-coding RNA. RefSeq lists it as uncharacterized. The transcript has 5 exons. NCBI's taxonomy places the organism in Eukaryota, Metazoa, Chordata, Amphibia, Anura, Hylidae. The record is from RefSeq and is a predicted model, not a curated record.